AGUGAACGCUGGCGGUAGGCCUAACACAUGCAAGUCGAACGGCAGCACAGUAAGAGCUUGCUCUUACGGGUGGCGAGUGGCGGACGGGUGAGGUAUACAUCGGAAUCUACUUUUUCGUGGGGGAUAACGUAGGGAAACUUACGCUAAUACCGCAUACGACCUACGGGUGAAAGCAGGGGAUCUUCGGACCUUGCGCGAUUGAAUGGGCCGAUGUCGGAUUAGCUAGUUGGCGGGGUAAAGGCCCACCAAGGCGACGAUCCGUAGCUGGUCUGAGAGGAUGAUCAGCCACACUGGAACUGAGACACGGUCCAGACUCCUACGGGAGGCAGCAGUGGGGAAUAUUGGACAAUGGGCGCAAGCCUGAUCCAGCCAUACCGCGUGGGUGAAGAAGGCCUUCGGGUUGUAAAGCCCUUUUGUUGGGAAAGAAAAGCAGCAGGUUAAUACCCCGCUGUUCUGACGGUACCCAAAGAAUAAGCACCGGCUAACUUCGUG
This 492-nucleotide ribosomal RNA is filed under the name uncultured bacterium. RNAcentral describes it as "partial 16S ribosomal RNA". It matches the Rfam family "Bacterial small subunit ribosomal RNA", at positions 29 to 507 of the family's 1533-position model. The record is from RNAcentral.